Molecule: ribosomal RNA, 429 nt
Filed under: Gemmatimonadota bacterium
Lineage: Bacteria; Pseudomonadati; Gemmatimonadota
Description: Gemmatimonadetes bacterium partial 16S ribosomal RNA
Rfam family: Bacterial small subunit ribosomal RNA
Source: RNAcentral
UAGGGAAUCUUCGGCAAUGGACGAAAGUCUGACCGAGCAACGCCGCGUGAGUGAAGAAGGUUUUCGGAUCGUAAAACUCUGUUGUUAGAGAAGAACAAGGACGUUAGUAACUGAACGUCCCCUGACGGUAUCUAACCAGAAAGCCACGGCUAACUACGUGCCAGCAGCCGCGGUAAUACGUAGGUGGCAAGCGUUGUCCGGAUUUAUUGGGCGUAAAGCGAGCGCAGGCGGUUUCUUAAGUCUGAUGUGAAAGCCCCCGGCUCAACCGGGGAGGGUCAUUGGAAACUGGGAUACUUGAGUGCAGAAGAGGAGAGUGGAAUUCCAUGUGUAGCGGUGAAAUGCGUAGAUAUAUGGAGGAACACCAGUGGCGAAGGCGGCUCUCUGGUCUGUAACUGACGCUGAGGCUCGAAGGCGUGGGGAGCAAACAGG